This 459-nucleotide ribosomal RNA is filed under the name uncultured bacterium. Its description in RNAcentral is "partial 16S ribosomal RNA". It matches the Rfam family "Bacterial small subunit ribosomal RNA", at positions 338 to 795 of the family's 1533-position model. The record is from RNAcentral.
ACUACGGGUGGCAGCAGUGAGGAAUAUUGGUCAAUGGGAGAGAUCCUGAACCAGCCAAGCCGCGUGAGGGAAGACGGCCCUAUGGGUUGUAAACCUCUUUUGUCGGAGAACAAAACCCCGGACGUGUCCCGGCCUGCGUGUAUCCGAAGAAAAAGCAUCGGCUAACUCCCUUCCAGCCGCGGCGGUAAUACGGAGGAUGCGAGUGUCUUCCGGUUUUAUUGGGUUGAACGGGUGGGUGGGCGGUCCGUUAAGUCAGAGGUAAAAUUGCGGGGCUAAACCCCGUCGAGCCGUUGAAACUGGCAGACGUGAGUUGGCGAGAGGUACGCGGAAUGCGCGGUGUAGCGGUGAAAUGCAUAGAGAUCGCGCAGAACUCCGAUUGUGAAGGCAGCGUACCGGCGCCAGACUGACGCUGAGGCACGAAAGCGUGGGGAUCGAACAAGAUUAGAUACCCGGGUAGUC